Macaca mulatta (Rhesus monkey) is the source of this 664-nucleotide non-coding RNA. The record is from RefSeq and is a predicted model, not a curated record. NCBI's taxonomy places the organism in Eukaryota, Metazoa, Chordata, Mammalia, Primates, Cercopithecidae.
AUCUUUAAGGUCAAAAAAGCAGGGAGAUGAGAUCUCCUAAAAGCACAUUGGCAAUUUUGCAUGAUAUACAGACGUACAGAGAGGUACAUGUAUUUGGGGGCUAUCAAGGCAUGGAUCUGUUGUUCUCAGCUGUUCUGAAGACAACAGGGGAAGAUACCAUUGUGGGUGUGUGAAGGAAGCCCAGAGCUACCAAGUGAAUGUCAAGCAACGUAAAAAGUCAGCCCAGCCUCUAUCCACAGGUGCAAAGCUGCUUGCCACAGCCUUCUCUCAUGUGCGAAGGCAUAGCUCUCCUACUUCUGAGCACUUUCCAUUGACUUCCAGAAACAUGCUUGAUCCAUCACUGGAGAAUAUGACUUGCUUUUUCAAGGGGAAUUGAAUUAGAUGCAGAAAGAAGGAGUUCUGCUUCUUCCAAAGGAGUGACUCCCAAAGGAGCAAGAAUUGACCAUAGGUUAUGGCUUGGAUUAUAACACACUAAUGUUGUCUUUGAGGCCAUCCACUGACGUCCUCACCCAUGGCAUAAGCAAGUUUUUCUGAAGUGACAAGGUCUUGCUCUGUUACCCAGGCUGGAGUAAUCAAAGUUCACUGCAUAGUGAAGUAAUCAAAGCUCACUGCAGCCUCAACCUCCUGGGCUCAAGCGAUUCUCCCACAUCAGCCUCCCAGGUAG